AGAGUUUGAUCCUGGCUCAGAUUGAACGCUGUCGGCAUGGCUAAAACAUGCAAGUCGAACGAGAACCUCGCAAGAGGGGACAGUGGCGGAAGGGUGAGUAAUGCGAUCGAACGUACCCCAAGGUGGGGGAUAGGCAGGGGAAACUCUGCGUAAUACCCCAUGUGCUCUCCGGAGGAAAGGUUUACCGCCUUGGGAGCGGCGAUCGUCCUAUCAGGUAGUUGGCGGGGUAAUGGCCCACCAAGCCGAAGACGGGUAGCCGGUAUGAGAGUACGGCCGGCCACAUCGGGACUGAGACACUGCCCGGACUCCUACGGGAGGCUGCAGUAACGAAUAUUCCGCAAUGGGCGCAAGCCUGACGGAGCAAUGCCGAGUGCAGGAUGAAGCGGCUUCGCCGUGUAAACUGCUGUCAGGGGUCAGAAACACUGAUCGACCCCAGAGGAAGAGGCGGCUAACUCUGUGCCAGCAGCCGCGGUAAUUC
This 478-nucleotide ribosomal RNA is filed under the name uncultured bacterium. RNAcentral describes it as "bacterial SSU rRNA". It matches the Rfam family "Bacterial small subunit ribosomal RNA", at positions 8 to 526 of the family's 1533-position model. The record is from RNAcentral.